GACGAACGCUGGCGGCGUGCUUAACACAUGCAAGUCGAACGAUGAAGCCUAGCUUGCUAGGUGGAUUAGUGGCGAACGGGUGAGUAAUACGUGAGUGACCUACCUUUGACUCUGGGAUAAGCCUGGGAAACUGGGUCUAAUACCGGAUACGACCAAUCUCCGCAUGGGGUGUUGGUGGAAAGCGUUAUGGAGUGGUUUUAGAUGGGCUCACGGCCUAUCAGCUUGUUGGUGAGGUAAUGGCUUACCAAGGCGACGACGGGUAGCCGGCCUGAGAGGGUGACCGGCCACACUGGGACUGAGACACGGCCCAGACUCCUACGGGAGGCAGCAGUGGGGAAUAUUGCACAAUGGGCGCAAGCCUGAUGCAGCGACGCCGCGUGAGGGAUGACGGCCUUCGGGUUGUAAACCUCUGUUAGCAUCGAAGAAGCG
RNAcentral lists this ribosomal RNA (429 nucleotides) under Rothia dentocariosa. RNAcentral describes it as "bacterial SSU rRNA". It matches the Rfam family "Bacterial small subunit ribosomal RNA", at positions 28 to 452 of the family's 1533-position model. The record is from RNAcentral. Lineage: Bacteria; Bacillati; Actinomycetota; Actinomycetes; Micrococcales; Micrococcaceae.